UCGUUUACAAGAUCGACGGCGGUGUGGAGAAGAGAGCAGGAGGUUGAGACUACAAGCUUGUCUGAAUCAAUGCAGAAAGAUAUAACAGGUCAACGGUUGAAAUUUUUGUUUCUCAGUAAUCCCUUAGUAUAUUGUCGGUGACUCGGUAAAAGGAAGAUGAUUAUGGAAGCACUUAUAUUAUAUACCUUUUCCAACAACACCCUCAAGUGCCUCCAAGGUGCUGAGGGACGCAGCAAAGUCGUUGGCCCAGAUGUUCCUUCCAUCAACAACACCAGCGAAGAGGUACUUUCCCUCGGGGAAACCAGCCUUGACCAAAUCAAGGGUCUUGGUGCCACGAACCAAGUCAAAUCCAAAGGCAGUCACACCCUUCAACGAAGUCAGGGUCUUGUAUGCUUCAGCAGGGAUAUCAGCGAAGUAAGUCUCAACAAGAACAUUCAAACCAGAAAGAGUUGAUUCAAGUUCAGCAUAGGCUCCAGUGAAGGCCUGGAGUUUGUGGCCCUCAAGAUCCAUAACGAGAACAGGCUCGUCGAGCUGAAUCCAGGUGGCACCAGCAGCCUUAAGCUCGGUGAUCACUUCCCUGUAGACAAAUCAAAGUAAUAAUGUCAGUGUUGGAUUACCAAUAACAUCAAGGACAUGGAUUGAAAAGUAAAAGAAAGAAUAAAGUGGUUGCAUACUUGUAGACAGGGAGAAUUUUGGGGAGAAGAGAGAGAAGGUCAAAUGACUUCUCCACACCCUUGGCAGCCUUAGAAAGCAACAAGUAAGAGACUGGGCCAACAAGUACAGGGACGGUGUCAACACCAAGCUGCAUAAACAUCAAGCUUAUCGGAUCAGAACUUUAGAUAGAAACUACUUUUGGUGCACAAAAGACAACCAGCGUCAAACUAAUCUUUAACAACUAUUCUAUCAACCGGUUGUAUUUUGUGAGUAAGCAAGCGAGUAUAUUCUUAACGUAUCAACAUCUUCUGUGAAAACCAUUCAAUAUAUCUAAAUUCAAACACUGAAUCCACGAACCCAAGUCUAUGAUCUCCAAUAAAUAGUUAUUUAUUAGUAAAUGGAUGAUAAUAAUAAAGAAAGAUACUUACAGCCUUGGCCUCCUUGUACUCAUUCACAGCCUUGUGAGAUGCGUAAGAGAACUUAACGUCAGGGCCCAACUCAGGAACAAUGUAAUGGCUGCACCAAUUAAACAUCAUUACAUUUUUCCACAACUAAGAAAAACAAACAACGUCACUGCAAGACUGCAAGAUCAGAGUUGGAGACUCACUAGUUGGUGUCAAACCACUUGGUCAUCUCCAUGGCGGGAACAGAGGCGUUACCUCUAGCCAUGGAGAAGUAAACAUCCAAACCGAUCUCACCACUGGUGUAACCGUAUCUGGGUGGAACAGCACCGAGCAUGGCGGUGGUGUCGAGAACCUGGUCGUAGUGAGCAAAGGUGUUGCUGGGGAUGUACUUGGUCCCAGCCUCAGACAUCUGCUUCCAGAUGUUAGCCCUGAGAUCAGCGGACACCUUCUGAAGAUCCUCAGCAGUGCUCUUUCCAUCCCAGAAUGAUUCCAAUGCGAACUUGAGCUCUCUCUUAGGGCCCAUACGUGGGUAUCCAACAAUGUGUGACGCCAUUUUGAUUUCUUUUUUUUUACUGCAUCAAACACAAACCAAAUCAAGAUCAGUAUCAAAUAGUAAAAUACAUUCUCUCUUUCAUAACUUUGUUAAUAUAAUAAUAAUAAAUAAGUUUCAUACUCCAAGAAAGCUGCAACUACAGUUCACGUGUUAACAAAUUAAAAUAAAAUAAAAUCGAAAAGUAGAGCUAUAGCAGCUUUUGUCGUAUUAAUGAUUGAAUGAGUCCACUUCAAAGUAGAAUCGAAAACUUUUAGAUCAAAAUCACAUGCAACAUUUGAUGAUGAUUCAAAGCGGAUCUAACACAGACCAAUGAUCAUUUUCGAACGAUGAAUAUAGAUCGCAGAUCAGAUCCAGAUCUACAGAUCGACCGACACCAAAAAAAAAAAACUCAGAUCUGCAAAUGAUGAGCUCUCUCACCGUUUAGAUCUCAGUGAUAAACACGCAAUACGAACAAACGGAUCGGGGAGGAAUGAGCUAAUAUAUUUGAAUUUAAAAAAAUCACACUCGGUAAGUAAUAAACAAUAACGUGGAGACGAAAACGAAAUGAGAAGGGGAAGGGAGCUAAAUAAGGGAGACGUGGGGAAGCCAUAAAAUCUCGGAGACGUACCUCACGGAGGAAGAAUCGGAGAAAGAGGUUUGGCUACGAUGAAGAGAGAGCGAGGAAGGAGAGUGGCUCUGUGAGUUUAUUUAUAGAUACAAUCGUUGGGCUCUGUGUGAUGUGUAGAUCUGGUGGUGGAUAUUUUAAGCAAUAAUCAUAUAUUUCAACAUUUUAUUUUAUUUAGUUUUUCUCUCAUUUUCUUUCUUUCUAAUACGGCUAUUUAUGUGUUCUGAUUUUCUGAGAUCAUUUUCUAAUUUUCUUACCAUAAUUAAGAAAAUUAAUUACUUUUAGAUUGUAAAAGUAAAACUAGACCAAAAAAGGAACAUGUAUGGACGGAACUAUGAGCAAUUUUAUUUGUUCUUCAAUGUAUUUUUAGCUAGGUAUGUAUUUUUAUUUUUUAGCCUUAAGCAUUUAAAAUGUUAACAGUUUAUACAUGGAUACUUGGAUUAUUUUUUAAGAACGAACUUUUAGAUGAUAUCUUAACGAAUUGACAGGAAUAUCGUAAUUACAAAUUUGUAAAAUACCGGUAAUGGUAUUAAAUAUUUUCAUUAGUAAAGCUAAAUCAUUUUUACAGCAGUAAAGUCCAAUCAUUUAAUUAAAACGUAUUUAUAAAAGUAUAUUAAAGCGAUUAAAUAGAGGAUUAAAACGUGAAGGGGAGUUGGUGUCUACGUAUAUGAGGGAUUAGUAGUAGUGGGUCCUACGGAGGUUGGUGGAGAUUCACAUUUCACAGUGAAGUUUCUGUUAAAUACGGCUGCGUUUAGUGUCGGCCCGAAGAGUAUCGACAUCGAGGCCUGUUCCGCAGUGUUUUGAAAACCAAGUUGGAGUGGUUAUUGAACCUGAUUAUUUUUGAUGAAUUUGAUUUUUUGCUUCAAUACUUUUUGGAAUGUUAUUAUUAGAUUCAUACAAGUUAAAUUUUCGCUAGUUAACAUGUAACUAUUUCGAUGAUGGUUCAUUUUCCUCUUUAUACAGUGGUCAGUAAAUACUAGUAGUAUUCAUCUUUUUUUUUUUGGAUCAAACUAGUAGUAUUCAUCUAUCACCCACCAAUAAAAGCUUAGGCAACUGAGAUAAACUGGAUCAAAAUAUUUUGGUGGAUGAAUAUAGUAGUAGGUAAUGAAAGGGAGAUUAUGGAUCCAUGAUGUAUAUGUUAUUGUUUUAAGAUUCAUAAACAAAGUGAUGAGUGCUCUUUUACCAAAAAAAAAAAGAAAAAAAAAAAAAAAGAAGUGAUGAGUGGUCUUCAUCUUGUUGUUUGCUUUGAUAAUUCGGCCACCAAACAUUGAUUCUAUUAACGUCAUCGCUUCCCUUGAUUACAUGGUAAUUAUCCUUCUCGUCUUAUUUUACUGAAUUUUUGGGUGUAUUUUGAAUAUUAGUGAUAUUCACAAGACUCAACAGUCCAUAUCACAUACUGCUAAUAGAUUACGAAUAUAAUAUUUAUGCACAGUGAGAUAAGUAUGUUAUAUCUUAUACCAGUCGUUAAUCCUCAGUUUUAUUACGCAACUCAAAGUCUAACCUAUAGAAUAGCACAUACACUAGUUGAUUAUUAAUUAUAAAGCUCUUUUGCGUGACUUGUAAGAUUAUUCUAAGUUCAACAACUAGUUUGGAACUGUGUAGGUCUAUUUUAAGAGAUGACGUUGUUGCAAACUCAGAAAACAGUCAACAAAGUGCUGCUUUUCCUUACGGACGCCAACAAAAUGCUUAUUAAAGACUGUUUGACACAAUAUGGAUACUAAAUUAUAGGCUAACUAUAUAGUUUGUAUUAGUUUUAUUACUAGCAAUUGUCAAUCGCACGGCAUAAGUUUAACAGCAGUUACAUGUGACUUUACAAGAAGAUUUGCAUAUGCAUCCUUAAAGUUGUUUUGUCGGUGGAUUUAGAUCUACCAUCAUAAUAACAGCAAAAGUCGUACGAGCAUUUAAUGAAAAUUCUCCUUUUCUUUUUUCAUUUUCAUUUUAUUGUUCUGCAACCUAAACAAGUAAUACCAUAAUCAAGCUCAAACGAAAAAAAAAGAAGAAGAAGAUCUGUAAUAUACUUUAUGAAAUUAUUGAACUAAUUCGUAUGCGAAUUGUGAAAAUUAUACGACUUAUGAUAUAUGGUGUACGCAUCCCUUUUUUUUUGCCAUCUUGAGUUUGGUAGAUCGUUUAGUAAACGAAUCACAAGAUCCAAAAACAUCCUUAUUGCUGGCUUAUUAAACUUUGUGAUUAAACUAUGAUAAAGGAAUGCUUUUAGGCAUGUGACAUAUUACAUGAUUACAUAUGCAUUAUGAUUUGAAUUGAAAUAUGAUAAUUUAAAUAAUUUAUAAAUCUUUUGUAAUGUAUACAUGCUAAUUUAAAGAACACAAAGACUAAGAAAUUAUUCAUCUAAUCUCAAUCACAAGGCUCCAUGUUAAAAGUGAGUAAAACAUGAAAAUGAAAGCCAACCACUUUUUAGGUAGAGUCCAUUCUUAUAGAUUACACAAUGCUAACCCUAUAGCUAGAGUUGAAAAGAACAACGAUGUAGAGCAACUCUACCUUUUAGACAAUGUUCAAAGAAGAAUCCAAACAUCAAUAAUUUCUGGAAUAAAAUUUAGGAGACUAACUUCUUAGCCUUGUAUUCUCUGCGAACUCUCCUGAGCUCUACAGUCUGGGGGAAGGAUCCAAUGGUGGUGGUUGGCAGGAUUGGGAGGUUAAGCUUCUUCUGCUGAGCAUCUAACCUAGCGCUAACAUUAGUUGCACGACGGUGGUCUGAGCCCUUCAAAGCAGCAGCCUGAGAUAACAAAUCAGAAACCAUCUCGAUCAAUAAAUGCUAAGGAGAAAUCAGUGACUGUGGAGAUGGCUGAGGUUUGCGCCAAACUUACAGCCUUCUGGACACCCUCGUUGGUGACUCUUGGGGAAGACCUCCUUGAAGCCAAAGCAGCAGCGUUGGCGGAGAAAAGGGCCUGAAAGGGAAUACAAUAUUAGCAUUCUAGUGUUUACUAAAUCAUUUACAUUGCAAAACUAUUCAAGGAUUUAAUAAAGUAGGUGGAUAAAAUUUCUACCUCAUCCUUCUGACCAGCCAAAGCCUUGGCCAGUGCGUUCACUUCAACGAUCUUCUGGGCAGCAAACGCCAACCAUGACUUGAUUUCGUCGUCAAGCUUGGUCUCGUUUACAAGAUCGACAGCGGUGUGGAGAAGAGAGCAGGAGGUUGAGACCACAAGCUUGUCUGAAUCAAUGCAGAAAGAUAACAGAUCAACGUUUGAAAUAUUUGUUUAGUAUAUUUUCGGGUGACUCAGGUAAAAGGCAGGCGAUUCUGGAAGCACUUAUUUACCUUUUCCAACAACACCCUCAAGUGCCUCCAAGGUGCUGAGAGACGCAGCAAAGUCAUUGGCCCAGAUGUUCCUUCCAUCAACAACACCAGCGAAGAGGUACUUUCCCUCGGGGAAACCAGCCUUGACUAAAUCAAGGGUCUUUGUGCCACGAACCAAGUCAAAUCCAAAGGCAGUCACACCCUUCAACGAAGUUAGGGUCUUGUAUGCUUCAGCAGGGAUAUCAGCGAAGUAGGUCUCAACAAGAACAUUCAAACCAGACAGAGUUGAUUCAAGUUCAGCAUAAGCCCCAGUGAGGGCCUGGAGUUUGUGGCCCUCAAGAUCCAUGACAAGGACAGGCUCGUCAAGCUGAAUCCAGGUGGCACCAGCUGCCUUAAGCUCUGUGAUCACUUCCCUGUACACAAAUCAAAGUCAUAAUAUCAGUGACAUGUUAGACGAUCAUUCAUAACUAAAAUAAAAAGGAAGUGAUUUCUUACUUGUAGACAGGGAGAAUUUUGGGGAGAAGAGAAAGAAGGUCAAAAGACUUCUCUACACCCUUGGCAGCCUUAGAAAGCAACAAGUAAGAGACAGGGCCAACAAGUACGGGGACGGUGUCAACACCAAGCUGCAUAACAUAAAGUUUUAUAGGAUCAGAACUUCAGAAUAGCAAUCUAGCAGAUGAAAGAAAGAAACCUACUUUAAGUGUACAAACGACAAUUAGCAGAAGAACAAGAAACUACUUUAGGUGUCAAAACACAACCAGAGUCAAAUUAAUUUAUAUCAGCUAUUCUAUCAAGUAACUGGUGUUUAUGAAUGUGCAAGUGAGUAUAUUCUUAAUUCAUCACUUGUCUAUGUGAUUAUGUGAAACAGCGUUCAGUGAAUCUAAGCUCAAACAGUAAAUCCUGGAACCAAAGCCUAUUAUCUCUAAUAGAUUAGUCCUAAAGCAGACUGUAAAAUUCAUAAGAAAUUGAAAAUAGCGAAGAAUAAUACGUACAGCCUUGGCCUCCUUGUACUCAUUCACAGCCUUGUGCGAUGCGUACGAAAAGUUAACCUCAGGGCCCAACUCAGGGACGAUGUAAUGGCUGCAUCAACAAAACAUCAUUACAUUAGUCCAAUAUUCAAAAAAAAAAGCCCAACUAACAAUGUCGCUGCAAGGGAGACGAGACUCACUAGUUGGUGUCAAACCACUUGGUCAUCUCCAUGGCGGGAACAGAGGCAUUUCCUCUAGCCAUGGAGAAGUAAACAUCCAACCCAAUCUCACCACCGGUGUAACCGUAUCUGGGUGGAACAGCACCGAGCAUGGCGGUGGUGUCAAGAACCUGAUCGUAGUGAGCAAAGGUGUUGCUUGGGAUGUACUUGGUCCCAGCCUCAGACAUCUGCUUCCAGAUACCCGACCUGAUAUCAGCAGACACCUUCUGAAGAUCCUCAGCAGUGCUCUUCUUAUCCCAGAAUGACUCCAACGCGAACUUGAGCUCUCUCUUGGGGCCCAUACGUGGAUAUCCAACAAUGUGCGACGCCAUUUUUGAUUUUCUUUAACUGCAACAAACAAAACAAACAAGAUCAAUAUCUCAUAUUUAAAUAAAAGAUUUAUUAAUAUAUAUAAUAAUAAGGCUAAGUUACUGACUCCAAGAAAGCAGCCAACAACAGUUCACGUGUACGCAAAAAAAAAAAAUAUCGAAAAGUGUAGCAGCUUUUUGUCGUAUUAUAUGAUUGAGAUAAACGAGACGAGUCCACUUCAGAGUGGAAUUUGAAAAGUUUUAGAUCAGAUCACAUGCAACAUUUUAUCACUAGGAGAUGAUCUAAAGCGGAUCUAACACACACGAGCUCAUAACGACGACCAUUUUCAAUAGAUCGCAAAUCAGAUCGAGAACCAGAUCUACGAAUCGAAUAACACUAGAAACUCAGAUCUGUGACUGAUGAAGUCUCUCACCGUUUAGAUAUACACUACGAACAAACAGAUCGCGGAGAAAUAGAACCAAAUAUGAUAUUCAAAUCUAAUCACAGUCGAGAGAGUAGUAAUAACAAUAACAACAACGUGGAGACGAAGAACGAAAUGAAUAACGAAGGGGGAAGCUAGCUAAAUAAGGGAGAACGUAGGGAAGGUAGAGAAACUCGGAGACGUACCUCACGGAGGAAGAAUCGGAGAAGAGAAGAAGAAAGGGUUGGCUACGAAGAAGAGAAGGCGAGGAAGGAGAGUGGGCUUGCGAGUUUAUUUAUAGCAAAAACAAAUAAUGAUAGAUCGUUGGGCUCUCUGCAUUAUUGUCUAGAUCUGGUGGUUGAUAUUUUCGGCAUUUAUCAUUUAUUUUUCAUUUUAUUUUCUUUUUACGGCUAUUUAUUUGCAUUUAUUUUCCUACAAUAUAUUUUCUUACCAAAAGUGUGGAAAAUUAAUAAGUAUGAAUAAAGCUAGUAAAUACGAUUCUAUCAGUACUACAACAUACCUAUCACCUUUUCAUUUUAUUUUCCCACAAUAUGUUUUGAUUUCAGAAAAAAAACAGUCACUAAUUUUCUUUAUUUGUCUCCCUCACCACAUAUUAUUUAUAAUUAAAUCAUAUAUAUACUCGAAUACUAAAUAAAAUAAAUUCAUAUAAAACUUAGUUAAAAAAAUUAUUAGUAAUUUAUGUUCUUCAAUGUAUUUUAGUUGCGUAUGUAUUUUGGCUUGAAAUUUAAAAAUAUGAACAAAGUAAUAUAUGGUUCACUAAAACGGAUCUUUAGAUAAUAUCUUAACUAAUUAACAGAAAUAUCUUAGCUUCAAAUUUGUAUUAGUAGUUUGGAUUAGUAAAGAUCAAUCUAUUUAUUUUUACUGUAGUAAAUCCUAAUCAUCUAGUUAGUCGUAUUAAGAAAUUAAAUAGAGAAUUAAAACGUGAAGGGGAGUUGGUGGUGUGCGUGGAGCGAUUAGUAGGUGGCAUGGGACCCACGGAGGUUGGUGGGGAUUCACAUUUCACAGUGAAGUUUCUGCUAAAUACGACGGCGUUUAGCAUUCAGCACGAAGAGUAUCGACAUUGAGCGCUGCUCGUGCUCGGCAGCGUUUUGGAAACCAUGUGGAGGUUGAAGCUGACUAUUUUUGAUAAAAUAAAAAAUAAAUUCCCAUAAUUUGACUACUAAAAAUACAUUUUAGGUUAGUAAAUACAAUAGUCAUAAUCAUGAUAUUUAUGUUUUUAUAGAACUGGCCGAGAAAAAUAUUAUGGUUGGUGACUAUAGUUGGUGGAGAAGGAUUGUGGCCCCACAAUAUAUAUGUAAUUGUUUAAGAUUCAUAAGCAAAGUGAUGAGUGGUCUUGAUGUUGUUGUUUGCUGAUGAUUUGGCCACCGUAUAUUGAUUCUUAACUUAUAUUAUCUUCAUCGCUUCCCUUAAUUACAUCUUACUUUUUCCUUCUAAUCCUAUUUUGAAUUUUCUUUAUGUUUUUAUGAAGUUAAAUCUUGAAUAUUAAUGAUAAGCAAAAAAAUUUUGACGCUUGCAAAAUAAACUUUGUAUAGACAUCUUAAGAACCUCACUGUUUCUCAAGCUUGCGUUAGGACAUUCGAAGGACUAAAAGUCUAUAUCACAUACUAGUAGUCUAAGAAAUCUAUGCAUAGUGGGAUCGAUAUGGUUUUUCUCAUACCAAUCAUUGAUCCUUAAUUUUAUCAUGUAGUUCAAUGUUUAUAGAAGUCUAACCAUAGUACAUACACUACUUUAUUAAUGUAUAAGCUCUUGUAGAGGGAGUCGUGAGUAUGGUCCAAGUUCAAGAACUAGGUUGGACUUUUUGAGUACCAUUCUCUUGUAUCGGAAACUGUGUAGGUGUGUAUUUCGAGUUUAAAAAAUAAUAAAAUGUAGAAGAUGGUGAUGCUGCUCCAAACCGACAAUUCAGGGCCUGACUGGUUCAACCGCAGCGGUUGCGGUUGCGGGAGUUUGCGGAUGCGGGUGGUUGCGGUUUCUAGCGGUUUUAAGAGAUUCGUACGACUGGUUAUGCGGUUAGAAAUUGGUAAACUCCGAAAACACAAGGCAAAGAUCAAUCUCUAGAUGCCCUGGGAUAUCUAUUCGAAAAAGUUUCCAUACUUGGAGAAGAACCAAUCUUUAUUUCCUUUCAAUACACCUUUUUUAGCUUCCAUACUUGGAGAAGAACCAAUCUUUAUUUCCUUUAAAUACCCCUUAGAAAAAAAGAUAUGUUUCAUAAGAGAAAUGAAGGAUACAAAACGAGAAACACAAAACAAAUCCAAAAGAUACAUAUCUCUCAACUCUCUCAGCAAGAGGGGAAACCAUAUGCAUCAAACCUAACUUCAACUAGAUAUUUUUAGAAAGGUAAUUAAACAAAACAAAAACACAACCAUUAUAGAGAAAAAGAACUCAAGUAUCCUUCUUCAAAUCAUUCAUCUCUUUUCAAGCUUUUCUUCACUUGGCACUGGCGAGCUGGGAGCGGAUGAGUUUAGCCGCAUCAACCAUGUUCUUCAGGGCAGGCUUGACCUCUGUGUACUUACGGGUCUUGAGACCACAGUCAGGGUUAACCCAAAGGAUGUUCUGCUCAAGAACAGCAAGCAUCUUGUUCACUCUCUCUGCGAUUUCCUCAGUUGAUGGUAUUCUUGGAGAGUGGAUGUCGUAGACACCUGGACCAAUUCCAGCACCGUACUUCACUCCUUCACGGAACACAGAGAGAAGCUUCUCAUCAGAUCGGGAGUUCUCGAUGGUGAUGACAUCAGCAUCCAUGUCGAUGAUGGAGUGUAUGAUGUCAUUGAAGUGAGAGUAGCACAUGUGAGUGUGGAUCUGCAUAAUAACACCACCAUAAGAAAACGGAAAAAACACUUCACUCUAGUAUAUACGAGCGAUAUGUGUUUGAAGGAAGCAAACCUGGGUGGUGUCUUGGACUCCACAGUUGGUGAUUCUGAAGGAGUGAACAGCCCAGUCCAAGUAGAAAGCAUGCUCGGAUUUCCUGAGUGGUAAUCCUUCUCUGAGUGCAGCCUCAUCGAUCUGAAUGACAUUAAUACCACCUUUCUCAAGAUCCUCGACUUCGUCCUUGAUGGCCAGAGCGAUCUGGUAACAGGUCUCGUGCCUACAAAGUUUUUCAGAUAUAUACGUUUUAGUCAUUUUGUUGUAAGCUGUGUUUGUUUCAGACUUGAGAGUUUUUAUUUUGUGUACCUGGGCUGGUCAUUUCUGACAAAGGACCAGUUAAGAAUGGUGACAGGGCCGGUAAGCAUUCCCUUCAUUGGGCGAGAGGUCAUGCUCUGAGCCAUUGCGGACCAGAAGACGGUCAUUGCCUUGGGACGGCUCACAUCACCGUAGAUAACUGGUGGCUUCACACAACGAGAUCCAUAAGAUUGGACCCAUCCAUUUGCGGUGAAGGCAAAACCAGACAACUGCUCCCCGAAGUACUCAACCAUGUCGUUUCUCUACAAAAUUGUUGAAACGUGUCUCGUCAGAAACAUUAAAACGGACUACCAUCAAUAACUUUGAAUUGUCAGUACUCUACUUCGAGGGUUCAAGCAAUAACAUAUAACAUUAAAAAGAAAACACUCACCUCUGGCUCUCCGUGAACGAGAACAUCAAUGUCAAGUUCCUCUUGGAGGUCAACAACUUUCUUGAUCUCUUCCUUCAUGGCCUUAACAUAGUCCUCCUCGGAAACCCUAUCAAAGAGAUUCACCGUUAGUAUCAUACCGUUUAAGGAGAUACCAGGAAUAAAAUUUAGGAGACUAACUUCUUAGCCUUGUAUUCUCUGCGAACUCUCCUGAGCUCUACAGUCUGGGGGAAGGACCCAAUGGUGGUGGUUGGCAGGAUUGGGAGGUUAAGCUUCUUCUGCUGAGCAUCUAACCUAGCGCUAACAUUAGUUGCACGACGGUGGUCUGAGCCCUUCAAAGCAGCAGCCUGAGAUAACAAAUCAGAAACCAUCUCGAUCAAUAAAUGCUAAGGAGAAAUCAGUGACUGUGGAGAUGGCUGAGGUUUGCGCCAAACUUACAGCCUUCUGGACACCCUCGUUGGUGACUCUUGGGGAAGACCUCCUUGAAGCCAAAGCAGCAGCGUUGGCGGAGAAAAGGGCCUGAAAGGGAAUACAAUAUUAGCAUUCUAGUGUUUACUAAAUCAUUUACAUUGCAAAACUAUUCAAGGAUUUAAUAAAGUAGGUGGAUAAAAUUUCUACCUCAUCCUUCUGACCAGCCAAAGCCUUGGCCAGUGCGUUCACUUCAACGAUCUUCUGGGCAGCAAACGCCAACCAUGACUUGAUUUCGUCGUCAAGCUUGGUCUCGUUUACAAGAUCGACGGCGGUGUGGAGAAGAGAGCAGGAGGUUGAGACUACAAGCUUGUCUGAAUCAAUGCAGAAAGAUAUAACAGGUCAACGGUUGAAAUUUUUGUUUCUCAGUAAUCCCUUAGUAUAUUGUCGGUGACUCGGUAAAAGGAAGAUGAUUAUGGAAGCACUUAUAUUAUAUACCUUUUCCAACAACACCCUCAAGUGCCUCCAAGGUGCUGAGGGACGCAGCAAAGUCGUUGGCCCAGAUGUUCCUUCCAUCAACAACACCAGCGAAGAGGUACUUUCCCUCGGGGAAACCAGCCUUGACCAAAUCAAGGGUCUUGGUGCCACGAACCAAGUCAAAUCCAAAGGCAGUCACACCCUUCAACGAAGUCAGGGUCUUGUAUGCUUCAGCAGGGAUAUCAGCGAAGUAAGUCUCAACAAGAACAUUCAAACCAGAAAGAGUUGAUUCAAGUUCAGCAUAGGCUCCAGUGAAGGCCUGGAGUUUGUGGCCCUCAAGAUCCAUAACGAGAACAGGCUCGUCGAGCUGAAUCCAGGUGGCACCAGCAGCCUUAAGCUCGGUGAUCACUUCCCUGUAGACAAAUCAAAGUAAUAAUGUCAGUGUUGGAUUACCAAUAACAUCAAGGACAUGGAUUGAAAAGUAAAAGAAAGAAU
RNAcentral lists this long non-coding RNA (12323 nucleotides) under Brassica napus (rape). RNAcentral's name for it is "long non-coding RNA (BNAP_LNC008879)". The record is from RNAcentral. Lineage: Eukaryota; Viridiplantae; Streptophyta; Magnoliopsida; Brassicales; Brassicaceae.